GAUGGCAAAUGAUGUUAAAAUUUUCUUAUCCUACACACUGAUUUCCAUGAAGAUUCAAAACUCCGCUUAUUAUCUGAUGCCUUC
Molecule: small nucleolar RNA, 84 nt
Organism: Neltuma alba
Lineage: Eukaryota; Viridiplantae; Streptophyta; Magnoliopsida; Fabales; Fabaceae
Product: small nucleolar RNA R16
Exons: 1
Source: RefSeq, a predicted model, not a curated record